This 253-nucleotide ribosomal RNA is filed under the name uncultured bacterium. RNAcentral's name for it is "partial 16S ribosomal RNA". It matches the Rfam family "Bacterial small subunit ribosomal RNA", at positions 524 to 776 of the family's 1533-position model. The record is from RNAcentral.
UACGGAGGAUGCAAGCGUUAUCCGGAAUGAUUGGGCGUAAAGCGUCCGCAGGUGGCUGUGUAAGUCUGCUGUUAAAGAGUGAGGCUCAACCUCAUAAAAGCAGUGGAAACUACACAGCUAGAGUGCGUUCGGGGCAGAGGGAAUUCCUGGUGUAGCGGUGAAAUGCGUAGAGAUCAGGAAGAACACCGGUGGCGAAGGCGCUCUGCUAGGCCGCAACUGACACUGAGGGACGAAAGCUAGGGGAGCGAACAGG